This 56-nucleotide transfer RNA is filed under the name Platygaster sp. ZJUH_2016026. Its description in RNAcentral is "tRNA-Ser". The record is from RNAcentral. Lineage: Eukaryota; Metazoa; Arthropoda; Insecta; Hymenoptera; Platygastridae.
AAUUAAUUUAAUAUAUUUUGAAAAUAUAGGUAAGAAAUUAAGUUUUCUAUUAAUUU